UGCACACAUCCUCAUUCAUUGCGGUGAUUACUUUGCCACAUAUUUCAUUAAAUACACUAUUUUUAAGUUAAGUGAACCAUCAUUUCAGUGAAAGAGAGGCACCCUGCAAGACAUCGUCUCACAGGCAGGGAAACAUGCCAGCACACUGACACCUGUUACAAACCGAGCCCAUUUUAAUAACAGAAUCCACAAGUCAGAAACACUAAAUUCCCCCUUCUCCACAUCUGUUGCAGGCAGUUCUUCGGGGUACUCAAAAUCUGACUUGUGGCCGGAAGUGCAUCUGCUUUGUAGCGUUGUUACUCAUUCCCAUCUUGAGCAUCCACUUGGACUUCAUCCUUUGCAAGUACUGCAUAUCACGCUUCUGAGCAAAGACUGCCCCUGUCUGGCUUGUCCAGCCCAAAGCUCUGUACUGCUGCAACACCCGACCCACUGCUUUCUUAUUUUUA
Molecule: long non-coding RNA, 446 nt
Filed under: Gallus gallus (chicken)
Lineage: Eukaryota; Metazoa; Chordata; Aves; Galliformes; Phasianidae
Source: RNAcentral